Molecule: ribosomal RNA, 638 nt
Filed under: Bacillus sp. (in: firmicutes)
Lineage: Bacteria; Bacillati; Bacillota; Bacilli; Caryophanales; Bacillaceae
Description: bacterial SSU rRNA
Rfam family: Bacterial small subunit ribosomal RNA
Source: RNAcentral
CCCGCGGCGCAUUAGCUAGUUGGUGAGGUAAUGGCUCACCAAGGCAACGAUGCGUAGCCGACCUGAGAGGGUGAUCGGCCACACUGGGACUGAGACACGGCCCAGACUCCUACGGGAGGCAGCAGUAGGGAAUCUUCCGCAAUGGACGAAAGUCUGACGGAGCAACGCCGCGUGAGUGAUGAAGGUUUUCGGAUCGUAAAACUCUGUUGUUAGGGAAGAACAAGUGCGAGAGUAACUGCUCGCACCUUGACGGUACCUAACCAGAAAGCCACGGCUAACUACGUGCCAGCAGCCGCGGUAAUACGUAGGUGGCAAGCGUUGUCCGGAAUUAUUGGGCGUAAAGCGCGCGCAGGCGGUUUCUUAAGUCUGAUGUGAAAGCCCCCGGCUCAACCGGGGAGGGUCAUUGGAAACUGGGAAACUUGAGUGCAGAAGAGGAGAGUGGAAUUCCACGUGUAGCGGUGAAAUGCGUAGAGAUGUGGAGGAACACCAGUGGCGAAGGCGACUCUCUGGUCUGUAACUGACGCUGAGGCGCGAAAGCGUGGGGAGCGAACAGGAUUAGAUACCCUGGUAGUCCACGCCGUAAACGAUGAGUGCUAAGUGUUAGAGGGUUUCCGCCCUUUAGUGCUGCAGCUAACGCA